GCUCAUUUCACUCAGCUCGCCUCCUGC
RNAcentral lists this non-coding RNA (27 nucleotides) under Homo sapiens (human). Lineage: Eukaryota; Metazoa; Chordata; Mammalia; Primates; Hominidae. The record is from RNAcentral.